This is a long non-coding RNA of Hylaeus anthracinus, 308 nucleotides long. RefSeq lists it as uncharacterized. The record is from RefSeq and is a predicted model, not a curated record. The transcript is spliced from 3 exons. Lineage: Eukaryota; Metazoa; Arthropoda; Insecta; Hymenoptera; Colletidae.
CGUUCUGGGUGCGAUUGGGGUCCAUAGCCGUCGUCGAUUGGGUAGCCACUUCCGUGAGCUGGGGGUGGAGGGUACCUGAGGGCAGAAGAGUAGUGGAUUAGGGUUAAGAAUCCUCCCCUAAGUCUUCGUUUUCUGAAUGGAAAGUGUCCAGAGACAACCCCCAGACGAUUCCUGUACCACUCGAAAGAUGAUCCUGUGGCCAUCUCGUUGAUUGAAUCGACUCAGUCGACAAGUGUGGUAAUGCUCGGAGUAAACUGCGCUCCUGCAUUGAAAGCUGGUCUGUCGAAGACACUCGUCGAGGCAUUCGC